Musa acuminata subsp. malaccensis (wild Malaysian banana) is the source of this 1379-nucleotide non-coding RNA. The record is from RefSeq and is a predicted model, not a curated record. Lineage: Eukaryota; Viridiplantae; Streptophyta; Magnoliopsida; Zingiberales; Musaceae.
GAGCCAUCUUCUUUCAGUAUAAACGUCGAUACGCCUGUCCCUCCUCCUCGUUCGCUCGCCGACUGGAGCGAGAUGGAGGCGAAGGGAUCGGAUUCGCUGUCGCCUAGCGAUUGGGCCUCGAGGGCGCUGCCGUCGUCGUCUCCUCCCGCAAGCAGAGGAACGUCGAUGAGGCGGCGGAGAAGCUGAUGUCGAAGGGAAUCGAGGUGAUGGGGGUGGUCUGCCACGUUUCGAAUCCCCAGCACCGGCACGAUCUCAUCGAGAAGACCGUCCAGGUUAGCGCUUCUCCUCCUAAGAAACUAAGUACAAGGAAGAGAAAUCUUGAAGAUGCAAUAAAAUUUUGUAGAUCGAACAAAAGUAGAGAAGAGAGAAAGAGACAGAGAAUAAUUUCGGGAAAAGGCGCCAAAAAUUCUUUGAUGUUGAUGAACAACACCGUCAUGCAAAAUUCAGAGCUGUCACUGCCAGACACUUUGGUGCCUUAGGCUUUUACCUUGCUUAAGACACUCAUGAGCAAAUAAGACAGGCCUUAGAACAGCUGCAUGAUCCUUUUUCUAAUCUGAUCAGCUGACCACCAACAACUAUGGAACUUUCCAGAUUCUUGGAUUGAACCAACUUAGACAGGAUGUUGUUAGCCAUCAACAGAGAAUUGAUGAAUUUGAUGGGAUUUGUGGUUUUAAUUGCUGAUCCAUGCACACUUUUAUUUGCAAUGGAGAACCCCUCUGAAUUGAUUUUGUUGCCUCUCUCGUUAGCUCGGUGUCAUUUGUCUAGAAUAUGCUUUGGAGUGUAGCAUCCUGAUGCACCCAGGAGGCGAGAGGAAUCCAGCAGAUGGAGGCCAAGAUCAAAUCAAAUUGGACAAAAGAAGAGGGUGGUGUUUGUCAAGUCAAUGCCUGGUUUUGUAUCAUUAGGUCUGUGUCUUUGUGUUUAGAUUAGGCUGCUGAAACUAACAUAUGGACUCCUUAUAUUGUCAAUGAUGGACUAGUUGGAGAGAAGUAAGACAUUGGUGAGAAGAUAUACUUGAUCAAUUUUCAGCCUCCAUCAUGUUAGCUAGUUGAUGAAAUAUGGUCACAUAGGCAUAGUUGUGUCGAAUGCUGCUGCUAAUCCGUCAGUGGAUAACAUUCUGGAUACCAGAGCGUCAGUGCUUGAUAAACUUUGGGAGAUCAGUGUGAAUUCCUCAGUUCUUAUUCUGCAGAUAAUUUAUAUGCAAAUGGGGUUUCACUUAGCCUUAUUUGAGAAUAUUAACUUCGUGUCUUUUGCAAGCUGCUGCAUCUUACUUGAAGACGGGAUCAUCCGUCAUCCUUAUAUCUUCAAUUGCAGGUUAUCUUCCGCAGUCAUCCAUGGCCAUGUAUGGUGUCACAAAGACUGCUCUUCUCGAGCUUACUAAG